UUUUCCUACGUGACGCAGCAGUGAGGAAUAUUGGUCAAUGGCCGCAGGGCUGAACCAGCCAAGUCGCGUGAGGGAUGACGGUCCUAUGGAUUGUAAACCUCUUUUGUCAGGGAGCAAAGGGCGCCACGUGUGGCGUUUUGCGAGUACCUGAAGAAAAAGCAUCGGCUAACUCCGUGCCAGCAGCCGCGGUAAUACGGAGGAUGCGAGCGUUAUCCGGAUUUAUUGGGUUUAAAGGGUGCGUAGGCGGAAUAUCAAGUCAGCGGUAAAAAUUCGGGGCUCAACCCCGUCGUGCCGUUGAAACUGAU
RNAcentral lists this ribosomal RNA (305 nucleotides) under uncultured bacterium. Its description in RNAcentral is "bacterial SSU rRNA". It matches the Rfam family "Bacterial small subunit ribosomal RNA", at positions 334 to 637 of the family's 1533-position model. The record is from RNAcentral.